Molecule: ribosomal RNA, 1865 nt
Filed under: marine metagenome
Description: bacterial LSU rRNA
Rfam family: Bacterial large subunit ribosomal RNA
Source: RNAcentral
UGAAGCAUGAGUAAAAUCAUGUGAAGGUCCGAACCAGUAUAUGUUGAAAAAUAUUUGGAUGAGUUGUGGAUAGGGGUGAAAGGCCAAUCAAACUUGGAGAUAUCUUGUUCUCUCCGAAAUAACUUUAGGGUUAGCCUCGACUUUUAAGACUUCUAGGGGUAGAGCACUGGAUUCCCAAGGGGGCCUACCGGCCUACCGACGGAAACCAAACUCCGAAUACUAGAAGUUAAGUCGGGAGAUAGACAGUGGGGGAUAAGCUUCAUUGUCGAAAGGGGAACAGCCCAGAUCGCCGAUUAAGGCCCCAAAUUCUAUGCUAAGUGAGUAAGGAUGUGAAGUUUCUAAGACAGUUGGAAUGUUGGCUUAGAGGCAGCCACCAUUUAAAGAGUGCGUAAUAGCUCACCAAUCGAGAGACUUUGCGCCGAUAAUAAUCGGGGCUAAGCAUAGAGCCGAAAUCGCGGGUGUACCACAUUAGUGGUAUGCGGUAGGAGAGCGUAGUAUGUGCAUUGAAGAUAUACCGUAAGGAGUGUUGGAGCGCAUACUAGUGAGGAUGCAUGGCAUAAGUACACGAUAAAGGAAGUGAGAAUCUUCCUCGCCGAAAGCCUAAGGUUUCCAGGGUAAAGCUCGUCUUCCCUGGGUUAGCCGGUCCCUAAGCCGAGGCUGAAAAGCGUAGGCGAUGGAAAGCAGGUUAAAUAUUCCUGUGCCACCUAAAACUAUGAUGAUGGGGUGACGAAGUAUGUUAAGCACGCGGACUAUUGGAUGUCCGUUACUUUAUGAGGCUGGUCAGUAGGCAAAUCCGCUGACAUAAGGCUAGGUAAAGGGCAAGGGAAAUCCUCGGAGGAACCGAUGGUGUGGCGCUACGCUUCCAAGAAAUAACCUCUAAUCGUUGAUGGUGACCGUACCAAAACCGACACAGGUAGGCAAGAUGAGUAUUCUCAGGCGCGCGAGACAACUCUCGUUAAGAACUCGGCAAAUUAUCCUCGUAACUUCGGGAGAAGAGGAGCCCCUAGAUGUGAAGCUUCGCGGCGUAAGCAUCCAGGGGCCGCAGAGAAAUGGCCCAGGCGACUGUUUAUCAAAAACACAGCACUAUGCAAACUCGUCUAAGAGGAAGUAUAUGGUGUGAUGCCUGCCCAAUGCCAAAAGGUCAAAAGGAGAUGUUAGCUUUUCGGAGCGAAGCAUUGAAUUUAAGCCCUGGUGAAUGGCGGCCGUAACUAUAACGGUCCUAAGGUAGCGAAAUUCCUUGUCGGGUAAGUUCCGACCUGCACGAAUGGCGCAACGAUCUGGGCGCUGUCUCAACGAGAGACUCGGUGAAAUUGUAGUAGCGGUGAAGAUGCCGUUUACCCGCAGCUAGACGGAAAGACCCCGUGAACCUUUACUGUACUCUGAUAUUGGCUUUUGAUUUGUCAUAUGUAGGAUAGCCGGAAGACUUUGAAGGAAAUUCGUCAGGAUUUCUGGAGUCUCCCUUGAAAUACCGGCUUUGACAAAUUGGAAAUCUAACGAAGCCCCGUGAAUCCGGGGUUCGGACAUUGUCAGACGGGCAGUUUGACUGGGGCGGUAUCCUCCUAAAAAGUAACGGAGGAGUCCAAAGCUUGUCUCAUCGUGGUUGGCAAUCACGAGUAGAGCGUAAAGGUAUAAGACAAGUUAACUGCGAGACCAACGAGUCGAGCAGAUACGAAAGUAGGGCUUAGUGAUCCGGCGGUUUGAAAGUGGAAUCGCCGUCGCUUAACGGAUAAAAGGUACUCCGGGGAUAACAGGCUUAUCGCCACCAAGAGUUCAUAUCGACGUGGCGGUUUGGCACCUCGAUGUCGGCUCAUCGCAUCCUGGGGCUGCAGAAGGUCCCAAGGGUUUGGCUGUUCGCCAAUUAAAGC